AGUGAACGCUGGCGGUAGGCCUAACACAUGCAAGUCGAACGGCAGCACAGUAAGAGCUUGCUCUUACGGGUGGCGAGUGGCGGACGGGUGAGGAAUACAUCGGAAUCUACUUUUUCGUGGGGGAUAACGUAGGGAAACUUACGCUAAUACCGCAUACGACCUACGGGUGAAAGCAGGGGAUCUUCGGACCUUGCGCGAUUGAAUGAGCCGAUGUCGGAUUAGCUAGUUGGCGGGGUAAGGGCCCACCAAGGCGACGAUCCGUAGCUGGUCUGAGAGGAUGAUCAGCCACACUGGAACUGAGGCACGGUCCAGACUCCUACGGGAGGCGGCAGUGGGGAAUAUUGGACAAUGGGCGCAAGCCUGAUCCAGCCAUACCGCGUGGGUGAAGAAGGCCUUCGGGUUGUAAAGCCCUUUUGUUGGGAAAGAAAAGCAGCAGGUUAAUACCCCGCUGUUCUGACGGUACCCAAAGAAUAAGCACCGGCUAACUUCGUG
RNAcentral lists this ribosomal RNA (492 nucleotides) under uncultured bacterium. RNAcentral's name for it is "partial 16S ribosomal RNA". It matches the Rfam family "Bacterial small subunit ribosomal RNA", at positions 29 to 507 of the family's 1533-position model. The record is from RNAcentral.